Molecule: non-coding RNA, 25 nt
Filed under: Rattus norvegicus (Norway rat)
Lineage: Eukaryota; Metazoa; Chordata; Mammalia; Rodentia; Muridae
Source: RNAcentral
UGCAAGUUCUAGCCAGUGUGGUUUC